RNAcentral lists this unclassified non-coding RNA (253 nucleotides) under Glomeraceae sp. RNAcentral's name for it is "partial contains 5.8S ribosomal RNA and internal transcribed spacer 2". The stretch from base 1 to 71 matches the Rfam family "5.8S ribosomal RNA", at positions 84 to 154 of the family's 154-position model. Lineage: Eukaryota; Fungi; Glomeromycota; Glomeromycetes; Glomerales; Glomeraceae. The record is from RNAcentral.
GUGAAUCAUCGAAUUUUUGAACGCAAAUUGCACUUUCUGGUAUUCCGGAAAGUAUGCCUGUUUGAGGGUCAGUUCAAUAAAAAUCGGCGUUGUUGCUGCCUUUCGUGGUGACGCGUCGUCUUUGGGUCGUCUUACCUUCGGAUAAGUGACUUAAAAUUUUUGCCUGAUUUUCGUACGUAUCUAAAUCUCUUACGUACUCUUGAGAUAUCGAAUGCUUAUUAUGUUCGUUCAUUCCCAUCAUUCGCGCCUAUAA